This 390-nucleotide unclassified non-coding RNA is filed under the name soil metagenome. RNAcentral's name for it is "partial contains 5.8S ribosomal RNA, internal transcribed spacer 2, and large subunit ribosomal RNA". The stretch from base 1 to 122 matches the Rfam family "5.8S ribosomal RNA", at positions 35 to 154 of the family's 154-position model. The record is from RNAcentral.
GAUGAAGAACGUAGCGAAAUGCGAUACUUGGUGUGAAUUGCAGAAUCCCGUGAACCAUCGAGUCUUUGAACGCAAGUUGCGCCCGAAGCCAUUAGGCCGAGGGCACGCCUGCCUGGGCGUCACACGUCGUUGCCCCCCCAUCUACUCCUUCGGGAUUGCGGGGGGCGGAUGAUGGCCUCCCGUGCGCCUCGUCGCGCGGUUGGCAUAAAUGCCAAGUCCUCAGCGACGCACGCCACGACAAUCGGUGGUUGCGAAACCUCGGUUGCCCGUCGUGUGCGGUCGUCGCGCAUCGAGGGCUCGAAAAAAUUGCCGGGCUCCGGCUCGGCUUUCAACGCGACCCCAGGUCAGGCGGGGUUACCCGCUGAAUUUAAGCAUAUCAAUAACGGAGGA